GACGAACGCUGGCGGCGUGCUUAACACAUGCAAGUCGAACGGAAAGGCCCUGCUUUUGUGGGAUGCUCGAGUGGCGAACGGGUGAGUAACACGUGAGUAACCUGCCCUUGACUUUGGGAUAACUUCAGGAAACUGGGGCUAAUACCGGAUAGGAUCUCCUGCUGCAUGGUGGGGGUUGGAAAGUUUCGGCGGUUGGGGAUGGACUCGCGGCUUAUCAGCUUGUUGGUGGGGUAGUGGCUUACCAAGGCUUUGACGGGUAGCCGGCCUGAGAGGGUGACCGGCCACAUUGGGACUGAGAUACGGCCCAGACUCCUACGGGAGGCAGCAGUGGGGAAUAUUGCAAAAUGGGCGGAAGCCGGAUGCAGCAACGCGGCGUGCGGGAUAACGGCCUUCGGGUUGUAACCCGCUUUCGCCUGUGCCGAAGCGUGAGUGACGGUAAUGGGUAAAGAAGCACCGGCUAACUACGUG
RNAcentral lists this ribosomal RNA (468 nucleotides) under uncultured bacterium. RNAcentral's name for it is "partial 16S ribosomal RNA". It matches the Rfam family "Bacterial small subunit ribosomal RNA", at positions 28 to 507 of the family's 1533-position model. The record is from RNAcentral.